CCGGACCUGGAGCCACUGCAGUGUUACAGCAAAUUUUGCACCUGGGGAAGAAAAUGGGGCUCUGGCAGCCAGUUGCUUCUGCCAGAAAGGCUUCUGCUGGAGGAGAACCCACAUGGUGAAGUUGGAGAUCACAGCUGAGCAGGGUACAGGGGACUCCAUCACCAACACAAAACACUAGAAAAAUCCCACUUGGGAAGGCAGACUGAACUACCUCCUGCUUCUCACCACCUGCGUUAUUUUGGCCAACUGGAAAGAGAUCAGAUGUUGGCCUUAGCAAAAGGCCUCCGGUCGCACAAAAUCUCCAAGGAGCCGGUGGCCACCGCGCAGACGUCGCCCCGAUCCCUGGCAUGUGUGCAGGCUUCACUUGGGAGGGCCAGACGUGACGAAAGUAUCUGAUCCCUCAGAACUAUUUGCAGUGGGGAUGUGGUGAGCAAACGGCGAUGGCAGGGCCGUCUCCCCCCACGCGGGUUCCCUGAGAGCAGCGCUCCCCACGCGCACCCUCGGGGUACGGGGAGCAGCCCCAGUCCCCGUGCGGGCUGGGGAAUGGCACGUGGGGGGCACGUGGGCUUGGAAUGAAGCCCGCAUCUGUCAUCUUCAGAGUGCAUG
This is a long non-coding RNA of Athene cunicularia (burrowing owl), 606 nucleotides long. RefSeq lists it as uncharacterized. Lineage: Eukaryota; Metazoa; Chordata; Aves; Strigiformes; Strigidae. The transcript is spliced from 3 exons. The record is from RefSeq and is a predicted model, not a curated record.